UGUGGCAGAAUAGUGCGGUGGACUUAAACCCCAUAAAUAAAGUAUAACUUUCUUUAGAA
RNAcentral lists this transfer RNA (59 nucleotides) under Serrognathus titanus. RNAcentral describes it as "tRNA-Leu". The record is from RNAcentral. Lineage: Eukaryota; Metazoa; Arthropoda; Insecta; Coleoptera; Lucanidae.